GCCAACGUCCAUACCAUGUUGAAUACACCGGUUCUCG
This 37-nucleotide ribosomal RNA is filed under the name Minois dryas. Lineage: Eukaryota; Metazoa; Arthropoda; Insecta; Lepidoptera; Nymphalidae. The record is from RNAcentral.